CUACGGGGUGCACCAGUGGGGAAUAUUGGGCAAUGGGCGAAAGCCUGACCCAGCAACGCCGCGUGAAGGAAGAAGGUUUUCGGAUCGUAAACUUCUAUCCCAGGUGAAGAUAAUGACGGUAGCCUGGAAGGAAGCCCCGGCUAACUACGUGCCAGCAGCCGCGGUAAUACGUAGGGGGCAAGCGUUGUCCGGAAUGAUUGGGCGUAAAGGGCGCGUAGGUGGCCUUCUAAGUCCGAUGUGAAAGUCCUGCUUUUAAGGUGGGAAUUGCAUUGGAAACUGGAGGGCUUGAGUGCAGGAGAGGUAAGUGGAAUUCCCGGUGUAGCGGUGAAAUGCGUAGAGAUCGGGAGGAACACCAGUGGCGAAGGCGACUUACUGGACUGUAACUGACGCUGAGGCGCGAAAGUGUGGGGAGCAAACAGGAUUAGAUACCCGUGUAGUC
This 439-nucleotide ribosomal RNA is filed under the name uncultured bacterium. Its description in RNAcentral is "partial 16S ribosomal RNA". It matches the Rfam family "Bacterial small subunit ribosomal RNA", at positions 339 to 795 of the family's 1533-position model. The record is from RNAcentral.